CCCCUCCCACGAUGGCGCCUGGAGAGUUUCCAGUCCUCUACCAGUCUCGACUACAGGAGGGAGAGUGAAGAAGAGGCCUACCCAUUCCAUUUCUAGCUUGGGCAGUGGCUAGUGAGUGGAAGACAAUUUGCUACAAGU
Small nucleolar RNA from Tachyglossus aculeatus (Australian echidna), 138 nucleotides. Lineage: Eukaryota; Metazoa; Chordata; Mammalia; Monotremata; Tachyglossidae. The record is from RefSeq and is a predicted model, not a curated record.